Gallus gallus (chicken) is the source of this 700-nucleotide long non-coding RNA. RefSeq lists it as uncharacterized. NCBI's taxonomy places the organism in Eukaryota, Metazoa, Chordata, Aves, Galliformes, Phasianidae. The record is from RefSeq and is a predicted model, not a curated record. The transcript is spliced from 3 exons.
GAGUGAGGGCGCGCUGUUGCCAUGGCAACACAGCCUACGCGCACGGCCUGAAGCAAGAACUUCACCCAACGAGAUGAAGAAAUCACCAGCUGGCAGUUGUCAUUCCUGCUUCAGCCUGGGAAAUCCAUCCUCUGUGGCCAAAUGCAAACUGCAGCACAAUUCCAGGAGGCCUCAGAAAUGGAAGUCAUAGUCCUGGCAGGUGAAUCUAACCAGCUCCAACCCAAAAGACCCAGACCCAGUAGCGGUGCUCUCAAGAAGCAUGAAUUGCUGCACUUGUGAUGGCAACCUUCCAUAAGACAACAGUGAUGGGGAGAAGGAGCUCAUCCACUUGGACAGUCUGCUGCAUAUGAGCCAGCAGUGUGCCCAGGUGGCCAAGGCGGCCAGCAGCAUCCUGGCUUGGAUCCGUAAUGAUGUGGUGAGCACCACUGGAAAAGUCAUCCUGCCCCUGUACUGCGCACUGGUGAGGCCUCACCUCGAGUGCUGUGUUCAGUUUUGGGCACCUUGGUACAGAAGGGAAACCGAGGUACUGGAGCAGGUCCAAAGAAGGGCUACAAAGCUGAUGAAGGGCUUGUGAAGGGCCUGGGGCCCCCAGCACAAGAAAGACGCAGAGCUCUUGGACCGGGUCCAGAGGAGGGCCACUAAGAUGACCACAGGGCUUUCUUCUCCUCUGAAGAAAGGUUGGGGGAACUGGGCUUGUUCA